GUGGGGAAUAUCCUCUCUAAUGUUCUCCUUUUUAAAGAGUACAACAUUUCAAACUUUUACAUGUUCAUCAAUUGCCUCUCUAGAUGGGCCAAUGUCCAGCCACAAUACUAGCCUGUGGGGCUGUCUAGCCUGUUCUAGGGGUCUUCGAUGCGGAGGUGGCCUCCUGCGUCCCCUCAGCGGCCCACUUGGAUUGAUUGCCGAAGUUUCCUUGUAGGCUCAUCGUCUGCCGACAUUGACUACUUGGCCUACCAGACCUUUGGAUUGGAGGCCGACAUUGACUAACUUAUGCAUGCAUUAUGAGUGGCAGAAUGGAGUGAAGCAUAUUCAACGAUGAGAGGAAGGAUGCACAAUUUUCCUGGUGC
RNAcentral lists this long non-coding RNA (362 nucleotides) under Sorghum bicolor (sorghum). RNAcentral describes it as "long non-coding RNA (SBIC_LNC002190)". Lineage: Eukaryota; Viridiplantae; Streptophyta; Magnoliopsida; Poales; Poaceae. The record is from RNAcentral.